Molecule: ribosomal RNA, 485 nt
Filed under: Anaplasma platys
Lineage: Bacteria; Pseudomonadati; Pseudomonadota; Alphaproteobacteria; Rickettsiales; Anaplasmataceae
Description: bacterial SSU rRNA
Rfam family: Bacterial small subunit ribosomal RNA
Source: RNAcentral
AAACACUCAGAGUUUGAUCCUGGCUCAGAACGAACGCUGGCGGCAAGCUUAACACAUGCAAGUCGAACGGAUUUUUGUCGUAGCUUGCUAUGAUAAAAAUUAGUGGCAGACGGGUGAGUAAUGCAUAGGAAUCUACCUAGUAGUAUGGGAUAGCCACUAGAAAUGGUGGGUAAUACUGUAUAAUCCCUGCGGGGGAAAGAUUUAUCGCUAUUAGAUGAGCCUAUGUUAGAUUAGCUAGUUGGUAGGGUAAAGGCCUACCAAGGCAGUGAUCUAUAGCUGGUCUGAGAGGAUGAUCAGCCACACUGGAACUGAGAUACGGUCCAGACUCCUACGGGAGGCAGCAGUGGGGAAUAUUGGACAAUGGGCGCAAGCCUGAUCCAGCUAUGCCGCGUGAGUGAGGAAGGCCUUAGGGUUGUAAAACUCUUUCAGUGGGGAAGAUAAUGACGGUACCUACAGAAGAAGUCCCGGCAAACUCAAGAGUUGGA